GAUGAACGCUGGCGGCGUGCCUAAUACAUGCAAGUCGAGCGAACGGACGAGAAGCUUGCUUCUCUGAUGUUAGCGGCGGACGGGUGAGUAACACGUGGAUAACCUACCUAUAAGACUGGGAUAACUUCGGGAAACCGGAGCUAAUACCGGAUGAUAUUUUGAACCGCAUGGUUCAAAAGUGAAAGACGGUCUUGCUGUCACUUAUAGAUGGAUCCGCGCUGCAUUAGCUAGUUGGUAAGGUAACGGCUUACCAAGGCAACGAUGCAUAGCCGACCUGAGAGGGUGGUCGGCCACACUGGAACUGAGCCACGGUCCAGACUCCUACGGUAGGCAGCAGUAGGGAAUCUUACGCGAUGGGCGAGAGCCUGACGGAACAACGCCGCGUGAGUGAUGAAGGUCUUCGGAUCGUAAAACUCUGUUAUUAGGGAAGAACAUAUGUGUAAGUAACUGUGCACAUCUUGACGGUACCUAAUCAGAAAGCCACGGCUAACUACGUG
Molecule: ribosomal RNA, 497 nt
Filed under: uncultured bacterium
Lineage: Bacteria
Description: partial 16S ribosomal RNA
Rfam family: Bacterial small subunit ribosomal RNA
Source: RNAcentral